RNAcentral lists this ribosomal RNA (468 nucleotides) under uncultured bacterium. RNAcentral's name for it is "partial 16S ribosomal RNA". It matches the Rfam family "Bacterial small subunit ribosomal RNA", at positions 28 to 507 of the family's 1533-position model. The record is from RNAcentral.
GACGGACGCUGGCGGCGUGCUUAACACAUGCAAGUCGAACGGAAAGGCCCUGCUUUCGUGGGAUGCUCGAGUGGCGAACGGGUGAGUAACACGUGAGUAACCUGCCCUUGACUUUGGUAUAACUUCAGGAAACUGGGGCUAACACCGGAUAGGAGCUCCUGCUGCAUGGUGGGGGUUGGAAAGUUUCGGCGGUUGGGGAUGGACUCGCGGCUUAUCAGCUUGUUGGGGGGGUAGUGGCUUACCAAGGCUUUGACGGGUAGCCGGCCUGAGAGGGUGACCGGCCACAUUGGGACUGAGAUACGGCCCAGACUCCUACGGGAGGCAGCAGUGGGGAAUAUUGCACAAUGGGCGGAAGCCUGAUGCAGCAACGCCGCGUGCGGGAUGACGGCCUUCGGGUUGUAAACCGCUUGCGCCUGUGACGAAGCGUGAGUGACGGUAAUUGGUAAAGAAGCACCGGCUAACUACGUG